RNAcentral lists this long non-coding RNA (206 nucleotides) under Gossypium raimondii (Peruvian cotton). RNAcentral's name for it is "long non-coding RNA (GRAI_LNC000576)". Lineage: Eukaryota; Viridiplantae; Streptophyta; Magnoliopsida; Malvales; Malvaceae. The record is from RNAcentral.
UUCAGAACAAGUCUAGAGUGAGUUUGUAAAAAAAAUUGAAAAAAAAUUGAAAAUUCAAAGUAUUGUAUUGAAAUUAGCUUGUUUAUUUUGAGUAGAUUGAAAAAAACUAUAUACGAAGUUAAAAAAAAGAUCUUGCAAAAAGUGUACGUUGGUUGAUUUCUCGAUCAGUAAAAUCUAUUCAAAAUUUUAUUCAUCCUUCACGCCAC